GAGGUGAAAGCAACAAGGAAGAAGCCUCCAGAAAACUAUGGGUUGUCAAUCACUUCCUUUUCCUUCUGUCAUCUCCGAAGCAGGUGACGACUUGUGUCCUGGACCUAUUUGGAAGGACAUGAUCUGAAACUUCAUUCGUGGAUUAAGAUGAGGAGGUUUGACAGUAGUAAUCUGAGCUGCUCGGAAACAAGAGAGCAGAGACACGAGAGGGACAAGUAACAGGGCAUGUCGAGACGGCAAGAUUGACUGGUCCGAAACCUGCGGUCGCAUGCGAGAAUGAUGCAUGGGAUGCACACAAAGACACGUGGAAAGCAGUACGGGCUUUCAAGUGAUGCCCAUAUAACGGCCCAAUAAAAGCCGCGGGUAAAACCCAUCUUGUCGAACAAUUCGACCUAAAGGGGACACGAAAGGGGUUCGCACACCUAUGGAAGGAAUUCGCAGGCGAUACGUUGCACCGCACUCGCUUAACCGACCUGAUCAUAAUUCGCGAUUCCAGUGGGUCCCGGUGGGAGCCAUCUCAGAUCCAUUCAUGAGAAAGGUAGCGUACUUUGGACAGCGUGAACGGGUAUCAAAAGCACAACCGGAAAAGGUAUUCCAUAUCAGGCUCUCUCAACCAAGGCUUCGAACAGGGAAAUAAUAGCCUUCUCACCGAUCGGAGAAAUCGGGACCCACAGGAGACUACCGCCACUAAUCUAUGCGACAAGAAGAACAGGGGCCCAACCGGAAGGAAACGCAUUCCCCGCCAAGCCAAGAAAAGAGUUCAAACCCCUUUCUUGCUCUUCGCUCUGUGACAUCGACGCGAACGGUGAGCCGAUGAAAAGGGAUAGGAGACCAGAUGACAACGGUAGCGACAACGAAGGGGGAGCGUCGCCGGAGAAGAAGGCGAAUCUGGAGGAGACACCAACGAGAUCAUUAUCCGCAAGCUGUCGAAUAAACGGAGGGUUUCCGUGAGGAAAUGGAAGGCGGUGGCCGUGGUGUACUUCCGAGAAUUGUACUUCAAGAAGGGCAAACCGCAUCCGGGGAUGAAAGGCAUAUCACUGUCUGCAGACCAGGUACUCGUCACUACAUUAUUGUGGUGGUGCUUUUCAUCAUAUCAUGGUUUUACGUUCUGGAUAAUUCUCCAAUGGUUUGUGAAGUUAAGCCAUCUCAGGAGCUCAAUGAUCACAUUCUCUCUUUUCAUUUUUAUGCUGUUCUAAAAUUUUCUUGUAACUACACUGCAGAACUUUGAUUGUGUGGUCUAAUUUCCAUUUUCAUAUUUUGCCAAUCUCAUUUUGAUCUUUUCUUGUUCUUGUCAGAUGAAGGGGAAUACACUGUGAACAUAUUGAAGAUAUCAUAGGCUUCUUAUUGGUGAGAGAAGUAUAACUUGGGAAUGUUUCCUGUUGCGAAUUUUGAUUUGUGGUGUAAAUGCGAAUAUGGAACAACAUUUGAAGUAAACACUGCUGAGACGAGCUAUCAUAAUAGACUAACCCCAUUUUGUGCAAAACUUGUCCAUGAGGAGUCGUCCAAAUCUUCAUUUCGAUGAUUGACAUGUUAAACCAUGAAAUGAUUGAGGGGAAUCCGUGGACAAAUAAAGGUACCUAUUCACAUGUGAUUGUGGAAGAAAAAUCUUGUAUGGUUGACAAUUUCGA
This is a long non-coding RNA of Musa acuminata AAA Group (dessert banana), 1628 nucleotides long. RefSeq lists it as uncharacterized. The transcript has 3 exons. Lineage: Eukaryota; Viridiplantae; Streptophyta; Magnoliopsida; Zingiberales; Musaceae. The record is from RefSeq and is a predicted model, not a curated record.